UGAGCGUGAGCUGGCGGGGCGCGCCCGCCGGGGGCCGGUCCUUCGCUCCCGGUCACCGAGGAGCCGUCUGAGGUCCCGCCUUUCCGCGGCGUCCUGGCCCUCCGCGUUCUCUCAGGAGUCUUGAGUAUGAUGAAGUUCUGUGGGUUACCUUGUUACCUUGUUCUAUAGUCUUGACAUGCUAGCUGGAUAUAGAAAGGAGCCACUGAAUAAGGAAAAUACUUCAUGGCAAAGGAGGUGGCAUAAUGGGCAUUUGACCAAGGGAUCCUAGUGGUCCUACCAGCUAUUGCAGCAUCCGAAGCAGUUGGCCCCAACAGAGCAUUGUCUAAUGACCAUCAGCAGCGUUCCUCCACAAAAGAACAAAACUCCAACCGGAUUGACAUACUAUUGUUCAGGAUACUUAUGUGCAGAGGGACAAGAGCUUGUACACUCUCAUAGCCAGAAUACAGAAGUUUGGGACCCAAGAAAUAAAAAUAGUAUUGAUUCUUCUUGACAGUGCCUCCCAGUAACUCAAUGGCACAAGUUUUGCUUCCUGUUUCUCUGCAGGAUUAGAAGUUCUAGGCUCCCUGGAAGAACUUUUCUACCAAGAAGUGAAAUAGGGAGGAGCCAUACAAACUGAAACCAUGAUUACAGCCUGGUCAUUCAGGUGCCCUGUGUUAGUGGGCAGGCUGGUAAAGAAGACACCCAAAUUUUUCCUUUAAACAUUGUGAUUAGAGCAACUUCCAGCUGAGAAGCUGUGACUGAGCAAGUGAUCAUUUCUUCUUAGAGGAACAAAAGGAACAGGAGCAUCGUCCUGCUUGGCCAGCUGCUCCUCCAUCUCCAUGGUCCACUUACCCUAGUGAACUUCUCCCACAAGUGGGCCUCUUCUCCCUCCCCUGCCUUCCCUCCAUCACCAUUGGCAGACCUUCCCCAACAGCCACUACAGGGAAUUUCCCUCAGAGCAGUGGCCCAUCAGCGAGUGCCAUCCCUGGGACUGCCAUUGGUGUCCCAACUGUGGACAAGGAAAUAGUGCUCCCAGAGCAAUACAUAAUCUCCUAAGAACGAUCCAGCCACCAUAAAGAAACAGCUGCCUAUCCAAACAAAUCACAGUUCCAACAGCUGGGUUGUUUGUUUCAGCCACCCCCAGCUUCCAGAAUCAAUUAUCUCCAUGAGUGAACUUCACACAGAAGUGGAUCUGGAGACCUCAAAGGGAAGUCCUUGACUCGUGGAAACACAGCAUCAUCCAAAACAGGGCUCAGAGGGAAGAGGAGUACAGAAGAACUACGGCAACAAGUCAAAUCCUAAUUUCAGAGCACUUCUACCCCUCUUUGUCUUCUGUUCUUUCCGCCACUGUCCACCUCUUCCACCAUGGCCUCUGAUCCUCGGAGGCUGUGACAGACAGCUCUCAAUACCGAACACUCCACUGUCACUUCUUCUAAGUAUUUUAAUAAAUUUUGAGUCUCCCCAGUAGUGACUGCCAUCUGAAAAGAGAGACUUCAUAAUCAAAAGUGAGAGGAGCAUUUUCCUGCAGGCACAAAGUGGCCAUUGCAUUCAUGACUUCACGGUGGCUGAUGCUGUCUAUCCAAGGCCUGUAUAAUGAGUGCAAAAAAAAAAAAAAAAAAAGGAGAUAAUUUCAAAAUAUAAAAGGGACUAAUUGAAGGAGUUCAAUGGAGGGGGACAAAAGAAGGUAGUGGGAUGGGAUUAUGUUUAAGGA
This is a long non-coding RNA of Jaculus jaculus (lesser Egyptian jerboa), 1690 nucleotides long. RefSeq lists it as uncharacterized. The record is from RefSeq and is a predicted model, not a curated record. The transcript is spliced from 3 exons. Lineage: Eukaryota; Metazoa; Chordata; Mammalia; Rodentia; Dipodidae.